This 148-nucleotide non-coding RNA is filed under the name Pan troglodytes (chimpanzee). Lineage: Eukaryota; Metazoa; Chordata; Mammalia; Primates; Hominidae. The record is from Rfam by way of RNAcentral.
GCUGGGCGUGGUGGUGGGCGCCUGUAAUCCCAGCUACUCAGGAAGCUGAGGCAGGAGAAUUGCUUGAACUCGGGAGUUGGAGGUUGCAGUGAGCUGAGAUCACGCCACUGCACUCCAGCCUGGGCGACAGAGCAAGACUCCGUCUCAA